RNAcentral lists this ribosomal RNA (406 nucleotides) under uncultured bacterium. Its description in RNAcentral is "partial 16S ribosomal RNA". It matches the Rfam family "Bacterial small subunit ribosomal RNA", at positions 30 to 526 of the family's 1533-position model. The record is from RNAcentral.
AUUGAACGCUGGCGGCAGGCCUAACACAUGCAAGUCGAACGAGUGGCGGACGGGUGAGUAAUGUCUGGGAAACUGCCUGAUGGAGGGGGAUAACUACUGGAAACGGUAGCUAAUACCGCAUACCAUCGGAUGUGCCCAGAUGGGAUUAGCUAGUAGGUGGGGUAAAGGCGCACCUAGGCGACGAUCCCUAGCUGGUCUGAGAGGAUGACCAGCCACACUGGAACUGAGACACGGUCCAGACUCCUACGGGAGGCAGCAGUGGGGAAUAUUGCGCAAUGGGCGAAAGCCUGAUGCAGCCAUGCCGCGUGUAUGAAGAAGGCCUUCGGGUUGUAAAGUACUUUCAGCAGGGAAGCGUUACCCGCAGAAGAAGCACCGGCUAACUACGUGCCAGCAGCCGCGGUAAUUC